This 255-nucleotide ribosomal RNA is filed under the name uncultured bacterium. RNAcentral's name for it is "partial 16S ribosomal RNA". It matches the Rfam family "Bacterial small subunit ribosomal RNA", at positions 524 to 776 of the family's 1533-position model. The record is from RNAcentral.
UACGGGGGGGGGUAAGCGUUGUUCGGAAUUACUGGGCGUAAAGGGCUCGUAGGCGGCCAACUAAGUCGGACGUGAAAUCCCUCAGCUUAACUGGGGAACUGCGUCCGAUACUGGAUGGCUUGGAUUCGGGAGAGGAAUGCGGAAUUCCAGGUGUAGCGGUGAAAUGCGUAGAUAUCUGGAGGAACACCGGUGGCGAAGGCGGCAUUCUGGGCAUGACCGUGACGCUGAGGAGCGAAAGUGUGGGGAGCGAACAGG